This 317-nucleotide RNase P RNA is filed under the name Paenimyroides tangerinum. RNAcentral's name for it is "Bacterial RNase P class A". It matches the Rfam family "Bacterial RNase P class A". From Rfam's summary of the family: Ribonuclease P (RNase P) is a ubiquitous endoribonuclease, found in archaea, bacteria and eukarya as well as chloroplasts and mitochondria. Its best characterised activity is the generation of mature 5'-ends of tRNAs by cleaving the 5'-leader elements of precursor-tRNAs. Cellular RNase Ps are ribonucleoproteins. The record is from Rfam by way of RNAcentral. Lineage: Bacteria; Pseudomonadati; Bacteroidota; Flavobacteriia; Flavobacteriales; Flavobacteriaceae.
AUAGUAGGCCGCCUUAUCGCUGGUAGCAAUAUCAGAGGAAAGUCUGGGCACCAUAGAGUAAGCUUAGCGGGUAACGCCCGUCCGCCGUGAGGUGAGGACAAGUGCAACAGAAAGGAUGUACAGGUAAUGCUGUAGUGAAAUCAGGUAAACUCUUUGCGGUGAAAUGCCAUGUAAACUAACGUUUGAGGGCUACUCGCUUGAUGUUAGAGGGUAGGCAGAUGGAACUUUUGAGUAAUUAAAAGUCUAGAUAAAUGAUAAGGAAAAGCACUUCAAAAGAAGUGCUUUUACAGAACCCGGCUUAUAGGCCUACUAUUUUA